CCGCAGAAGGAGGAAGGCAGAUGGCAGAAGCGGCAGUGCUGUCCGGUAGGGAAGGCCCCGACGUCCGCCCUUCCCCAGACCGUGGGCUCCCCUCGCUUCCAGGGGUGGAGGAGAGAAGAGCUGGAGAAACGUGCCACGACUCAAACAAAUUUACUUCCGUGGUGGAUUCUGAUUUUUUUGAACAAAAUGAGGUUUCUUUCUGUGGUCCAACCUACCACCCUCAUAUUUCCAGCAGAAGGAACAUGAAAUGAAAAAGGAAAAAAGCCCUUACAAUAUCAUACGAGUUUCUCUACCAGCACAUCAUGCUGGUGUCCUAAAGAAGCCAGACAGCAGAGUUAACGGGUACAAGUUUAAACGUUG
Molecule: long non-coding RNA, 360 nt
Filed under: Homo sapiens (human)
Lineage: Eukaryota; Metazoa; Chordata; Mammalia; Primates; Hominidae
Description: non-protein coding lnc-SIPA1L1-3:1
Source: RNAcentral